Molecule: long non-coding RNA, 1109 nt
Organism: Magnolia sinica
Lineage: Eukaryota; Viridiplantae; Streptophyta; Magnoliopsida; Magnoliales; Magnoliaceae
Exons: 6
Source: RefSeq, a predicted model, not a curated record
UUGUUUGGCUAACACCGCAUUGUUGUUGCCUAUUUUCAGCUUGCUUAGGUACUGAGCCAAAUCCAGGAUUUCCUAGAAGAGGGAUUUUCAGGUAUCUGUAUAGGAGAGAUUUGCUUCUCUUGUGGUGCAAGUUCAAGCAUAUAUUCAGCUGAACUGCAGUAGGUGCUGCCCCAGAACUGCAGCAGGUGGAAUCCCCUAUUGUAGUGAAGCAAAAUUCCAUGCAUCAACAGUCUGCUCAGCAUGCAUUGAUGUCAGCUGGAGCGAAAGAUGCAGGUGCUCAUGACAUCACUAUUCAGCAUAUGCUGGCCAGGUGAAAGCAGAAGCCCAACAGCAACAACAAAAUUCAUCUAAUGAUUUGAACUUGGAACCUGCUACUAAUUUUGGAGUAAAUAAGAGUCUCAUGAAUGAGAUUUCAACAUAGAGUGUGGAUGGUCUUGUUUCGAUAAGUACUGUUAAGCUAAAGCUACGGAAGCAGAAGCUACAUGCUUUCUUGCAAGGAAGAAGUAGAAGAUGAGUGCGGAUCCAAUCCCUUCUUCGAACUCCCAUAGCCAGCUCGAUGGGCAGAUUUCUCAGCUCAUGCAGCGCAAGCCCCUCUCCGAGCAAGAAGUAGAGACGGCUGAGACUGUAACGUGCAUGAAUGAACCAGGUUGGAUCCCUGGAUGUCUUACUCUUGCCUUGUAAACCUCACUUGGUAAUUUUUAAAAAAGAAAAAAAAAAGUGCUCAUCUUGUUCAGGCUAAGGCUCUUGAGUGGGAUUUGGAAUGGGUCAGGCCCAUCUCAGCUUGGAAGGUGGGUAGGUAGCUGAAAGCCCUACCAACUGUCAUCCAUGAUUUGCCAGUAAACUCUAAAUGCUACCUAAAAAACAGAAGAAUAGUUCUCUUAUAUGUUUGAAUAUUUUCAAAUCUUUCAUGAUUCCACAGGCAAUUAUUCAUCCAGAAGCAAUCAUUUUUAAAUAUUUGAUUUGUUAGCUAGUAUAGGCAACCUUUAUUGGGGAAUGUAAUGCAUCAUGAAUGCCAUGAAGUUGGAAGUUGCUAUUGCUUGUACAUUCUGGAUUUGUUUUUUAAAAUGAAUUAGCAAUAAAUGAUAACUAACACUAAUUUCUGAACUAAA